UAAGCAUAUUAAUCAGCGGAGGAAAAGAAACUAACAAGGAUUCCCUCAGUAACUGCGAGUGAACCGGGAUGAGCUCAAUGUGUG
Molecule: ribosomal RNA, 84 nt
Filed under: uncultured Tulasnella
Lineage: Eukaryota; Fungi; Basidiomycota; Agaricomycetes; Cantharellales; Tulasnellaceae
Description: partial 28S ribosomal RNA
Rfam family: Eukaryotic large subunit ribosomal RNA
Source: RNAcentral